This 553-nucleotide long non-coding RNA is filed under the name Homo sapiens (human). RNAcentral's name for it is "non-protein coding lnc-ZNF286A-11:1". The record is from RNAcentral. Lineage: Eukaryota; Metazoa; Chordata; Mammalia; Primates; Hominidae.
AUGAAGACCGUUCUCAGCAAUCAGACUGCUAACAUUCUAGAAAAUGUCAACAUUACUCUGAAGGGACACACAGUUAUCGUGAAGGGCCCCAGAGGGACUUCAAUCACAUCAGUGUAGAACCCAGUCUUCUCGGACAGAAAACAAAAAAGGCUCCGGGUUGACAAAGGGUGGGGUAACGGAAAGGAACUGCUACCGUUUGGACUAUUUUACUCAUGUACAGAACAUGAUCAAGGGUGUCACACUGGGCUUCCACUACAAGUUGAGGUCUGUGUAUGCUCACUUCCCCAUCAAUGUUGUUAUCCAGGAGAAUGGGUCUCCUGUCGAAAUCCAAAAUUUCUUGGGUGAAAAAUACAUCCACAGGGUUUGGAUGAGACCAAGUGUUGCCUGUUCAGUAUCUCAAACCCAGAAAGAUGAAGGAAACAACAUUGAGCUUGUUUCAAAUUCAGCGACUUUGAUUCAGCAAGCCACAACAGUUAAAAACAAGGCAAUCAGGAAAUUUUUGGAUGGUAUAUAUGUCUCUGAAAAAGGAACUGUUCAGCAGGCCGAUGAAUAA